UAGGGAAAGGGAGAAGAGGCAGGAAGAAGAAACACUAAGCAAAUAGGGGUAACAAGUAUCAUUACCGGUAUGUGUCAGUGCUUGGUGCUAAGACUGGGAGAAAGAGAAGGAAGUGCAGGGGAGAUGGUGAUGGGUCACAGCCUUGGUGACAAAAGGGUAGGAAUGAUAUGUGGUGCGGACAUAGAAGUACAAGGCAAAAGAGUGACGCCGAGCUGCUCAGUUCUUCGGAAG
RNAcentral lists this long non-coding RNA (231 nucleotides) under Homo sapiens (human). Its description in RNAcentral is "non-protein coding lnc-RTCA-2:1". Lineage: Eukaryota; Metazoa; Chordata; Mammalia; Primates; Hominidae. The record is from RNAcentral.